GAAAUGCGAUAAGUAAUGUGAAUUGCAGAAUUCUGUGAAUCAUCGAAUCUUUGAACGCACCUUGCGCUCCUUGGUAUUCCUUGGAGCAUGCCUGUUUGAGUAUCAUGAAAUCUUCAAAGUAAAUCUUUUGUUAACUCAAUUGGUUUCUACUUUGGUAUUGGAGGUCUUUGCAGCUUCACACCUGCUCCUCUUUGUUCAUUAGCUGGAUCUCAGUGUUAUGCUUGGUUCCACUCGGCGUGAUAAGUUAUCUAUCGCUGAGGACACUGUAAAAGGUGGCCAAGGUAAAUGCAGAUGAACCGCUUCUAAUAGUCCAUUGACUUGGACAAUACUUUUAUGAUCUGAUCUCAAAUCAGGUAGGACUACCCGCUGAACUUAAGC
Molecule: unclassified non-coding RNA, 378 nt
Filed under: plant metagenome
Description: partial contains 5.8S ribosomal RNA, internal transcribed spacer 2, and large subunit ribosomal RNA
Rfam family: 5.8S ribosomal RNA (bases 1-105)
Source: RNAcentral